CACCAUCAGCAUUUUCGAAAAAUCUUCAACGAGAGAAAUUUUUAAGGAAUUUAUUGGUUAUUUACAAUAAUAAUUGAGAAUUAGGAUACUUAUGAUGUAUUUAUAUACCCCAUUGUUCUCCGUUUUAAAGUCUACUUCAAAUUUCAGAAUCUUUUAGGCUAAUGACGGAAAUCUUCAAGUCGCAGGGCUUCUUAUUUAAAAAUUUUCCCCUGGGCAAUAAGCUUAUUCACAAGCCUCUAUGCAAUUCCGUACUGCAUUUCUAUCAUAUUCGUCAUAUUUGGCGGAAAAUGUUUCAGCAGAAUAGCUUUCAGACACAAUUUGUUAUUACAGCACAAGAAUUUUUGGAGAUUUGAUAAGUCAAAAAUGUAUGCGUAAGUCUUUUGAACGAAUUUUAACCAAAAAUCAAAAGCAAUGAUUACGUGAAAUUACACAACAAGAAGGCUAGAGGCGUUUAAAGUGUACAUAUAUUUAAUCAAGAUCUAACUUUAUAGAUAGAGCCUUAGCCAAAUGUGAAAAUAACGAAAAUAAUAAGUUCUAACACUGCAGUUUUUAUAGAUUUCAAACGUCCACCAUUUUCCAUUUUAAUUUUAAAUCCCGUUCUAAAUUUGAAUGUUUGAAAUCGUUAUUAGUAAUUCGGGGCGCAUUAGUGGUAACUAUGGCUAGUUGCGCCCCGCCGAAGGGGCGCACAUUUAGUGGACCGCGGGUAUAUAGUGUUUGUUUUAUGUAUGGGAGAAGUUUUUUUCUUACUCUCAACUUCGCUGGGGAACUUCGGCUCGAACAUCCAACCUAGGUUUGAUAUAACACAACCUGUGUGUUUGGUACCAUCAAGACAAAAAUAACACUGAUCGAGCAAAACUUAUCUUGUCUCGGUUUCUUUGUUGUCUCUGAAGAUUUGACUGCCAUUAAAAAUAUUAAUCGAGAUUCUUUUGUUAUGUUAAUUUAAAGCUUUGUAAUAUUGUCUCGUUUAAUAUGCUUAAAUGUCACUGCAGCCCACGUGAAUUUAUCUUCAAGAAAAGGUUUGUUUUUCUUUGUCCAAGUUGUUUCGAAACUUGUUAACAAUCAUUUGUUAUCAAACCAUGCACCAUCAGCAUUUUCGAAAAAUCUUCAACGAGAGAAAUUUUUUAAGGAUUUUAUUGGUAACUUAACACAGUAAUAAUUCAUUAAAAUUGAAAUUGUUCAGAAGUUAUUAUAUAUAUUCGAAUCAUGAAGUUCAUACAUAGCAAUCCUGCAUCCUGGAAUUUUCGAGAUCAGUUAUAAAAAAAUCUAGUUAAAGUUUUAACUAUUGUUUUAGAAUAUAUACUAUAUAUAUGUAAAAAAAAAAUUCAUUUUUUAUUUAUCAAGUUGUAUUUUACGUUAAUUACAAUAAUAAUUGAGAAUUAGGAUA
Hydractinia symbiolongicarpus is the source of this 1384-nucleotide long non-coding RNA. RefSeq lists it as uncharacterized. The record is from RefSeq and is a predicted model, not a curated record. The transcript is spliced from 2 exons. NCBI's taxonomy places the organism in Eukaryota, Metazoa, Cnidaria, Hydrozoa, Anthoathecata, Hydractiniidae.